RNAcentral lists this transfer RNA (63 nucleotides) under Myosotella myosotis (mouse ear snail). Its description in RNAcentral is "tRNA-Phe". Lineage: Eukaryota; Metazoa; Mollusca; Gastropoda; Ellobiida; Ellobiidae. The record is from RNAcentral.
AAACAAAUAGCUUAAGAAAAGCGCGGCGUUGAAGAUGCCGAAAUAGGUACCUCCUUUUGUUUG